This 673-nucleotide ribosomal RNA is filed under the name uncultured fungus. RNAcentral describes it as "eukaryotic LSU rRNA". It matches the Rfam family "Eukaryotic large subunit ribosomal RNA", at positions 40 to 647 of the family's 3401-position model. The record is from RNAcentral. Lineage: Eukaryota; Fungi.
AUAUCAGUAAGCGGAGGAAAAGAAACUAACAAGGAUUCCCCUAGUAACGGCGAGUGAAGCGGGAACAGCUCAAAUUUAAAAUCUCGGCGUUUUGCGUCGCGAAUUGUAGUCUAGGUAAGGUGAUCUAGGGUGGAGCAGGUGCACAAGUUCCUUGGAAAAGGACGCCAGAGAGGGUGAGAGCCCCGUGACAGCACCUGUUCCGCCUCAAGUGAGAACCUUUCAAAGAGUCGAGUUGCUUGGGAAUGCAGCUCAAAGUGGGUGGUAAAUCUCAUCUAAGGCUAAAUACUGGCAAGAGACCGAUAGCGAACAAGUACCGUGAGGGAAAGAUGAAAAGCACCUUGAAAAGGGAGUUAAAUAGUGCGUGAAAUUGUUAAAAGGGAAACGAUAGAGACCAGUGUUGGCGCGUGCUCUAACUGGGUGCCUCGGUGCCUAGAGCGAGUGCGCGUCGAGUCAAUGCCAGUUGCAGCUGCCGCACACGAUUCAGUUCAAGGUGGGGUCCACCCUCGGGUAGGCUCUUUAUAGGCUCUGAUUUCUGCGGCCGCGGCGACCGGAAGUUUGGGUCGAGUCAGUAGACUUGGUGGGAACGGCGAGCGGACAACUUGUUGACCGACUGCUCUCACUGCCAAUGAAGCGACACUCUCUCGAACGCCUUUGACGAAAUGGUCUUUAACGA